Molecule: ribosomal RNA, 500 nt
Filed under: uncultured bacterium
Lineage: Bacteria
Description: bacterial SSU rRNA
Rfam family: Bacterial small subunit ribosomal RNA
Source: RNAcentral
ACGAACGCUGGCGGCGUGCCUAACACAUGCAAGUCGCACGAGAAAGCUCUUCGGAGUGAGUAGAGUGGCGCACGGGAGAGUAAUGCAUAGGAACGUACCAUCGGGUGGGGGAUAACCACGGGAAACUGUGGCUAAUACCGCAUGAUAUGGAAACAUCAAAGAGGGCCUCUACUUGUAAGCUCUUGCCGGAUGAUCGGCCUAUGUCCCAUUAGCUUGUUGGUGAGGUAACGGCUCACCAAGGCGACGAUGGGUAGCUGGUCUGAGAGGAUGAUCAGCCUCACUGGGACUGAGACACGGCCCAGACUCCUACGGGAGGCAGCAGUGGGGAAUUUUGCACAAUGGACGCAAGUCUGAUGCAGCAACGCCGCGUGUGUGAAGAAGGCCCUUGGGUUGUAAAGCACUUUCGGCAGGGAAGAAGGGUCUUUGGUCAAACAGGCCAGAGACUGGACGGUACCUGAAGAAGAAGCACCGGCUAACUCCGUGCCAGCAGCCGCGGUAAU